This 228-nucleotide ribosomal RNA is filed under the name uncultured bacterium. RNAcentral describes it as "partial 16S ribosomal RNA". It matches the Rfam family "Bacterial small subunit ribosomal RNA", at positions 94 to 339 of the family's 1533-position model. The record is from RNAcentral.
AGCGGCGGACGGGUGAGUAACGCGUGGGAACGUGCCUUCUGGUUCGGAAUAACCCUGGGAAACUAGGGCUAAUACCGGAUAAGUCCUUACGGAGAAAGUUUUAAUGCCAAAAGAUGAGCCCGCAUUUGAUUAGCUAGUUGGUGAGGUAAAAGCUCACCAAGGCGAUAAUCAAUAGCUGAUUUGAGAGGAUGAUCAGCCACAUUGGGACUGAGACACGGCCCAAACUCC